UGCGUGUGCCUGAGAGCAGUGCCCCGUAUCCAGCCCCGAGCACAAGGCGUUCCCCCGGCUGUCGGCGUUAGGCAUCAGCUGAGGCGCGUGCGCAGAGAAGGCCCCCAGUGCGUUCGUAUUAAUCCCCCUUUAAACACCGCACAUGGCAAGACAAGCAAGUAAUAAUAAUAUUAAUAUCUACGCAGGGCACAGGUGCCCGCGUGUCUUAAGGAGGAGUGAGACAAGCUCACCCCACCAUCGGAAAACUUGAUUUCCCUACCCCGGCUCCCCUGCGCGGGGUCCGCCAUUGGCGGUCCCCUGGGUGCGGCCUCCCGGGCGGCAUCGGGUGUUGGCAAUGCCCAUCUCUUGCUCUAGCCGGUAGUACAGGUUUGCGGUGCCCCGGAGUGUGGUGACGCUAUGCAUGUGGAGACGUGUGCAGCAGGCCUUGGCUGCCUGCGGUUUGGCUCCUAGGUCUUUGAGGAGAGUUUCAAGGGUACGGGGGACAGUGCCACCGUGGCCCAGUGUAAUAACGUGUUUAGUAUCGUAGUGCACAGUCCACCCUGCAGCUUGCAUGGCAGUGGCAAGGGUGGCGUGCUGUGCUUGUUUUUGAAUGAGCUUCUCGCUGUGGUGCAGGUCAGAGGUGUAUCCAACUUCAAGGAUGUACACUGGGUAGGCCCCUUUGUUGGCUGGUGGGGAUGUCAUGAAGCGUUCUGCUUCGGACCGGGGAAGGUUCGGGAUAAACAGAAUGUCAGGCCGCAUCCUGUUGAGGUCUGCAGCGGGCACUUGCGGGCAGAGCCAGGACGGCGGCCGCAUGCCCGCACAGUACUCAGGCAGUUCAGCUCGGGAGGUGGCAUCCAUUAUCAUGUAGCCACCACCGUUGUGACCAUGGUGUAGGCAUUCGGCAAUCGCCCGCACUGCAGUGUUGUGUUUGGCUAUCCUAGCGCCAACGAGUUGCGGAUGCGCGCAGUGGCCGGCAAGGUGACCUGCGCUGCCACGCUCUGGGUCAGAUCCGCGGCUGCGCUGGGUGUGGGCACAGAGACCACAUUUGUCGCUGUCUCGUAGUUUAAACAAAGCCAGCCGGGCCGGGCAGAUGAGGCCUCCCUGACGAGCAUUCUGUAUGAACCGGCGUAGGCCGUGGCUGGCGUCCGAGUUCGUCAUGUACGCAUUACUGGCGCGUGGGUCAAGGCUGGGUGCUGCCUCGGCCCAUUUCUCAGUGUACAGGGUUUUGAUGGCGUAUCCACCACGGCAGCUGGGGGCCAUUGCCCUGGUGAGGCCCCGGUUUAGGUCCGACACGUAGUGCGUGGCUGUGCUAUCGUCGUCCCUGGUGACCGUGAAGGUCGGCCACCAGUGCCGGGCGUGCGGGUCGUUGUCGGCCGGUUCGGAUACAUCGGCGGUUUUUUCCUGGGUGGCGACGGCAGCCGCCCCUUUAUCGGCUUCCUCGUUGCCGUGUAGCCCGGUGUGCGAGAUCACUUUAAUCAGAGCGGUGGGUGCGCCCCGGGCGUGGCGUGCAUGGAGCAAUGCCACGAUUGAAUCCAGGAGGUCCCGAUGUUUACUCAGAUGCAGUCGCCGAGGCUCGUUGAUUGCUCGUUUGAUUAGGUACAAGCUUGCAACAGAAUCUGAUGCAAUAGUGAGCUUCUUAGUUGCAAAUUCUUUACCUUCGCCACCAAAUGCUGCGAGGGCAGCACGAAUUGCUGCCAGCUCAGCUCUCGUAAUAGUGUUAGUGCACCCAGCGCCAUUUGGAUCCACGUAGACAACGCGAGAAUCGCUGAACCAGGCGCAGGCGCCGGCAACCUGGACUUCUUUGCCAUUUUCAGUUUUGAUUUUGCUUACCGAACCAUCUGUCCAGACAGUGCCAUUCACGUCGUGGGCCAGAGCAUGGUGGGUCUGGAAUCGUGCGUUAGGAAAGCGUCGUGCUUCGUCAGCCAUGGCGUGUAUCGUCUUUGGGUUAGCGUGCUGGUAUUUGGCUUGCUUUAGAAGUGAGUUUGGGAGGGCCGGGCAGGUUGGGGCCGUGGCCGUGUGUGUCCAUGUGCGCGGGUCGCUGAUGUGCGUGGGUGUGUUCGCCCCCCGCUUCAGUGUGUCCACGAGCCGUUUCAGGCGGGGGGCAAAGCACUGGAGUCCGGCGGGGUUCCCAACAAUGACCAGUCGGAGCCCCUUCUGGCGUUCAGCCUGGGUGUUGGUGCCAAGUCCUGUGUCAAGGCCCGCGGUGCCCGCGGACCAGUUGGCCAGCUCGUGGCAAAGUGGGAGUUGAAGCCACUGCGUGUGGGGGAAAGUGGCCGCUUUGGGGAGCGCCAAUACAGUAAGGGUUGGUUCCUGUGAGUCACGCAUAGCCUCGGCGCAUGCGAGGGCCCACAUGAGCGCCUUCCGUGCAUCGUGGGGGGUAGAGGGGGGGUGGGCAUAUUGCAAGCCGGUCCAUGCGGUCUGGUAGGCAUCGUGCAGUGCGCCAAAGGCCCCAUCAGCAGGGUCUCGUGUCCAGUAUUCGUGGGCUGCAGUGGAGGAGUUUAGUGGGGACGCAAACAUUUCCCGAACGUGUACUGCUUGUGAGACCCGCAGGCAUUGGACGAUGGCAGCUACUGUGCCUGCCGGCAGCGACACCUGGUGCAUUGGCAUGGCCUUGCGGUCCUGCUGCGCCGGGUCAUAGCGGUAGCGCAUGAUGAGGGCAGCGACCGCUUCCUCAAAGGCGUUGGGCCGCUGGUUGCCGGUGUGCCUGAAGCGCUCCCACAGGGCAAGGAGGCGGGGGUAGGUGAUGGUGCCCAGCCAGCGGCCACUGGGUUCAUGGAUGUGCGCCUCAGCUGGGUCACGGCGGGUGCCACCAGUGGUGGUAAUAGUGUAUGCUCCGGGGGCCACGAUGUCCUUGUAGGGGUUGCACGGGCUUGUGGUGAUGGUGGUGGUCGUGCGGAUGUCACGCGCGCGGGAUGCGGUAUCCAGGGGCUCAGCGUCGUGGCGGCCUUGGCGCUGUCUGGCGGUAAGGUUCCGAUCAGGUGCGGGGCGCACUGUUCGGGGCCGCGGGCCUUGGUUGGUACCGUAUGCUCGCCGGGUUUUGCACUCCUCCAGUAGCUCCUCCCAUUGUGGACUGUGUUUUAGGUCCCGUUCACGGUCCGUGCUCGGCGCCCACGUGACAUGUCGCAGGAGUUUGGUCGUCCAGGACGAGAAUAGGGGGGCCCCAGUGGGCUGCGGUGCUGCCGGCUCUGCAGCUUGGGCAGGCUCUUCAGGUGCGAUUGCGUGGGCUUGGGUUUCAGCCGGAGGCUCAGCCUCGGUCUGUGCAGGUUGUGGGCAUGGGCGCGUCGCAAGUGGGUGCUUGUAGCACCUGGCGUUCUGGAUAGUUGCGUAGCCCAUGCGAACAAAAGCAGAGACAAUGCCGACAGGGCAAAUGGACGGCUUCCACUGCACCUUCCAGUAUUUCUCACGUGUCCCAGAGGUGUCCGCUCUGGCCUUGCGCUUCCGUGUCAGUUCUUUGUCCGUGUCAGUUUGUAUAUUUUCGCUGUGCAGGACCUGUGCCAGUUCCUGUCCGUCAUUGUCCAGGUCGUAGGUGAGUUGAGUGUCACCGUUAGUGCGGUUGUCGGUGGGCCGUGGGACUAGAUCGUGUGUGAUCCUGGCGCGGGCCAGUCGCCAGCUGGGACGGGCCCCGUGACCUCCCGCAGCUUGCACUGCCGGGGCGGUCAGGGGCGGCGCUGGGCUGUCGACGUCCAUGGGGUCGUUAUGAGCGGCAGCCUGGUUGGUUUCCAUAGGCAAUCCUGUGUUGUUCAGGUACUCGCUUAUGGCGUUGGGUUCGGGGUUGGCAGCAUUAGCCGUGAGGCGGGUUGUGAGGGCGGGUGGUAGCCCACGGCGCUGUUGGCGUGGUUCGACAGCAUGUGCAAGGGAUGGUGGGUCUUGGGGGUGUGGGUGGCCGAUCCGCAUGUGUCCUGUCAUGUCUUUGGCGAGCGCUUGGAAUACCGAGCAUGCCGUUUCGUACCCCCGCGUGCCCACCGGCAGGCUCUCAUCGCCGUUGGUGAGCCGCAGGGCAUGGUUGAUGGCGGCGCGGUCCCCGGUGAGUAGGUCCUCAGGGGUAGUGCGCGUGGUUUCUGCAAUGCGUGCGCGUUGCGCUGCAUGUUUUGUAACGCGCCGUGCGCGUGUUUGGUUCUGUGGUGGCCGGCGUGUUGUAGCCGGCUUGCGGGCUCUGGCCGGUGGCCGUAGGGAGGGUUGCGUUGCCCCAUCAGCGGGGACUUCCGGUGCAGCAGCACCUUGUGCGCCGGGAUGGGCCUGGGCCGCCCCUGCUGUGGAGUGGGGGGCUAGGUCGGCGGGGGCUUGCGUGGUGUUUGCUUGGGUGGGGGGCGCCUCCGGGAGGGGCUGCAGGUACCAGUCGAGGGGGUUGGCCAUUCCAGGGGGGAGGGGGUCGGGCCUCAUGGCUAAGGCCGCGAUUGCGGCCACGUCAGGCAGUGCACGCUGUGCGGUGGUCAGGGGGGCAGGGCUGCCGUGGGCUGGGGCGUUUUCCCCUGCACGUGCAGCCAUACUGAGAGCAAGGCUAAGCCUGUUCAGGGCUACCUUGUGCUUGUGUCGGACCCGGCUCGCUCCCAUGUGCUUCUCGAGGUCCGAGCUAGUAAUCAGGUGUUUGCCUGUGUUGCGGUCCACCAGGUGGCUCAGUUCGAGCCUCAGGUCCGCAAGAGGGAGGACGUAUUCAAUGGGGAGAGGUUCGACGCCCCGGGCCUCAGCUUCUGCCUCAAGGGCAGCGGCAAUGGACCAGGUAGGCGCAGUUAAGGCAGACCCAUUUUGGUACAGUGUGACACCGUACUCUUUUGCCAGGGUCAUCUGUUUCAGCGUCGUAAGGUGGUGUGACCUAUGGGCUGGGAGAAGGUGGGCCUGUGUGGGGCCAGCUAUGCUUGCCUGGCGCGGCAGAAGGGCUCGGGUUACUAUCCCAAGACGGCCCGAGUCAUUUAGGGCAAGGACCAGGGCUCGCUGGGCCACGCGCGCGUAUUGCGGCAGGAGGGAGCCCAGGCCCAAGCCGUAUUCGUCGGCGGGCAGGAGGCAGGUCCGGGUGGGGAAGCUGCGGGGGAGUCCGUAGCAGCGCUUUGCAAAACCAGCCGGGGUAGUGUCGAGCGUUGUUAUGUCCUGUUUUGUGAAGGGCAUUGCUGCGAAUCCAUAUGCAACUGUGGUGUGCACGCACUGUUGUAUCAUGCGCAGGCGUUGUGCCGGUGUCGCCAGGGAUGUGGCAAUGGCUGUGCCCUUGUCCUUCACAAUCUCGGUGACUCUUGCGACAUGUGCCGACCAGUCCAGCGAGAACGUGAGCUGCACUCCCAGGUACUUGUACGGCUGGAUCGGGGGGAAGUACGGGGCAGGGGUCGUGCCAAUCUUAAUUGUGUUGGUCAUGUUGCGGCGCAUGGCGGCGAGGGUAGCUUUUCCUGUGAGCCCGUCAAGGUUGGGGUCCGAGCGAGACUUGUCGUGCCAGAUGGCGGUGGUGGCACACUUGGUGUGAUUGACACGCAGGCUCGCCCACUCGGCGUAAGAUGUGAUUUUGUCACAUUGAACCUGCAGGUCGUCGAGCGAGUUGGUGAGCGCCGCCAGGUCGUCUGCGUACGCGGCGGCACUGCAAUGGUAUUGCAGGUUUUCGCUGGGGGUCAGGCAGCCGUAGUGGUAGCCCCGUCCGCCCGCAUGGAGCCAGCGGACAAGAGGUUCCAUGAACAGAAUAAAGAGCACAGGUGAGAGUGUAUCACCUUGCACGGUGCCUCGCUCUAUAGGAAUGGCGGAUGUGCUUCCGUGUUCGGUGCGGAUGCGGGUGGUCGCAUGUGCAUAUAGGUUGCGGACUGCGCGGAUCAGGUCCGUUGGCAGCCCAAGGUCAAACAUAAUUUGUAGUAAUCUGUCCUGGUCGAUUGUGUUAAACGCGGAGCUAUAGUCCACGUAUACCGCAUAGACAUCUUUUCCAAACAGUGCGGCAUCCUCAAGGGCAUGUACUAAAUUUAGGACCUGCCUUUCGGUGUUGCAGUAGGCACGGAAGCCUUCCUGCGCUUCACUGAAUAGCUGGAGGGGGCCAGCCAGUUCGCCAAUGCCCAAGGUAAGCAUGGACGUGUACAGCUUGUAGCAGGUGUUUGCGAGCGCAAUGGGCCGUUUGUUUUUUAUGUCCAGGGCGUCUCCAGGUUUGGGGAGUAGCACGGUCUCCGAUGCGGCCCAGGUGAGCGGCGGUGCGUGUGCCUGAGAGCAGUGCCCCGUAUCCAGCCCCGAGCACAAGGCGUUCCCCCGGCUGUCGGCGUUAGGCAUCAGCUGAGGCGCGUGCGCAGAGAAGGCCCCCAGUGCGUUCGUAUUAAUCCCCCUUUAAACACCGCACAUGGCAAGACAAGCAAGUAUCAAGUAUGCGGCCAACCAAGUUUAAGUGUUGCAUGGGGCACUGCUUCCAAACUCUUUGCGGCACUUCCUUCUUUGCCAGUUCAAUGUAUAUAUACUGUACCCUUCUAUGCAUAUCACACACUACUGAAGACACGUCAAAGCUUUCAGUAUGUAGAGACCCGCAAACAGUUCUCUGCCACUCGGCAGAGGACGCCCUCGCCCUGCUAUGUUUGCUGUUAAGGCCCAGUCUCCACUAGUGACGCUAUGUGGCGCACAGGUGCGCCUUGCAGUGGCCAUAACGCUGGGUUGUUGCAGGGGUGGUGACGUCGUUGACCGAGCGCAAUAUUUAUUGCCCAUCUUCAAUUCGUUCAUGUUCAGGCUCAACAAAAGCAUUUCAAAAGGCUACAGAGUGGCGCAGGUGAGGCGGGGGUACCAUCCGCGCGACUUGGUUGCUAGCUUCAGAGGGUGUCAGCAUGAGAGCAUGCGCAUGCUACGGUGUCUGUAUAAUGGCACCGUACAAGCCUGUCAUCAGUUCAUGCUCAGUUCUCAGUCCUGGUACCCUCCCGCCCUCCCUCAGGACUCCGGCCGCACGAAGGGCCACCCGUGCGGACCACCCCUGGGUGGGCUAGACGUGGCGCACCCGCACGUUAACCCCAACAGGCAAGUCUAUGUCCAGAUAGUAUUUCGCAAUUGCUGAAGUAAGCACUGCAUGAGUACCGUGUCUGCAGAUGAACAUGGGGGGAAAGGUACCUUGCGUCAUACCCUCUGAUAUGCCUAAUAUGGUUUUGUGGUUCCUGACCGAAUCGUCCUGAACACUAUGCAGGCUUACGAAGGGCAGCACGGGUGUGGCUAGCUGUGGACUGGAGCGCUGGCACCGGCAGCAUGCGGAGUCUGCGGCAGCACUGUGCAGCAGGUCGGACGUUGUGGUUGUCGUUGUGUGUUUGGCAAGGCUUGAGUAUGGGCACUCCUGUGCCGCUUAUGCCUUGGCGGGUGGCGUUUGGUUGUUACCCGGAAGUGGCUACAUACGCAUCUGUAUUCAUGUUACGGUAGGGCACGUUCGGUGAGCGAGGAGGUCGAUGGGUGACAGGGCAUGUGGAGCGGGCAGACUUCCUUUCCACGGUGUGCGAUGGCGGACUAAAAGCCUAAGGAGAGGCUGGUGGAUGGAGGCGGACUUCACGCCUUCAGAGAAACAGGCCGAAUCCUCGUUUAUACUGGACGCGCGGCACGUGCCGUUGCACAAACUGUAACACAAGAGAGCAGUUGAGGGAAUUGGCUUCGUGUGCCCCACGUGUGCGUGCAUGCAUGCGGGUGGGAAGCGUGCAGUGGGGGGCAGCUGCUUGCGUUAGGUAACGCACAUGCGUCCCGCAUGCGCCAUGGCAUGCGUAGUACUUCACGCAUCCGGCAUAUGUGCAUCACGCAUGCGUAUGGCAUGCGUUCGGGACGCAUGCGUACAUCCAGAAAGAGUCGCUGCGGCCGCUAGCCAACACCAGCAUGCGUUAG
This 7770-nucleotide long non-coding RNA is filed under the name Chlamydomonas reinhardtii. RNAcentral describes it as "long non-coding RNA (CREI_LNC001219)". Lineage: Eukaryota; Viridiplantae; Chlorophyta; Chlorophyceae; Chlamydomonadales; Chlamydomonadaceae. The record is from RNAcentral.